GACGAACGCUGGCGGCGUGCUUAACACAUGCAAGUCGAACGGAAAGGCCCUUCGGGGUACUCGAGUGGCGAACGGGUGAGUAACACGUGGGUGAUCUGCCUCGUACUCUGGGAUAAGCCUGGGAAACUGGGUCUAAUACUGGAUAGGACCUUCUCUCGCAUGGGGGUUGGUGGAAAGCUUUUCGGUACGAGAUGGGCCCGCGGCCUAUCAGCUUGUUGGUGGGGUAAUGGCCUACCAAGGCGACGACGGGUAGCCGGCCUGAGAGGGCGACCGGCCACACUGGGACUGAGACACGUCCCAGACUCCUACGGGAGGCAGCAGUGGGGAAUAUUGCACAAUGGGCGCAAGCCUGAUGCAGCGACGCCGCGUGAGGGAUGACGGCCUUCGGGUUGUAAACCUCUUUCACCAGGGGCGAAUUUAGACGGUACCUGGAGAAGAAGCACCGGCCAACUACGUGCCAGCCGCCGCCGUAA
RNAcentral lists this ribosomal RNA (473 nucleotides) under uncultured bacterium. Its description in RNAcentral is "partial 16S ribosomal RNA". It matches the Rfam family "Bacterial small subunit ribosomal RNA", at positions 28 to 523 of the family's 1533-position model. The record is from RNAcentral.